This 188-nucleotide ribosomal RNA is filed under the name Melanoides tuberculata. Its description in RNAcentral is "partial 16S ribosomal RNA". Lineage: Eukaryota; Metazoa; Mollusca; Gastropoda; Thiaridae. The record is from RNAcentral.
GUCGAGCUUUAGAGUAAAGCAGGAAUAUAAGUAUUAAAAAAAAUCAAUGACUACAUAACUCUUUAGUUGGGGCGACUAAGGAACAAAUAAAGCUUCUUUUAGUUUUUUAGAUCAAUAAAUUUAGAUCCAGCAAAGCUGAUUAAAAGAAUUAGUUACCGCAGGGAUAACAGCAUAAUCUCUCUUGAGAG